RNAcentral lists this ribosomal RNA (301 nucleotides) under uncultured bacterium. RNAcentral's name for it is "partial 16S ribosomal RNA". It matches the Rfam family "Bacterial small subunit ribosomal RNA", at positions 509 to 807 of the family's 1533-position model. The record is from RNAcentral.
CAGCAGCCGCGGUAAUACGAAGGGGGCUAGCGUUGUUCGGAUUUACUGGGCGUAAAGCGCACGUAGGCGGACUUUUAAGUCAGGGGUGAAAUCCCGCAGCUCAACUGCGGAACUGCCUUUGAUACUGGGUAUCUUGAGUAUGGAAGAGGUUAGUGGAAUUGCGAGUGUAGAGGUGAAAUUCGUAGAUAUUCGCAGGAACACCAGUGGCGAAGGCGGCUAACUGGUCCAUAACUGACGCUGAGGUGCGAAAGCGUGGGGAGCAAACAGGAUUAGAUACCCCAGUAGUCCCUGUCUCUUAUAC